This 253-nucleotide ribosomal RNA is filed under the name uncultured bacterium. RNAcentral's name for it is "partial 16S ribosomal RNA". It matches the Rfam family "Bacterial small subunit ribosomal RNA", at positions 524 to 776 of the family's 1533-position model. The record is from RNAcentral.
UACGAAGGGGACUAGCGUUGUUCGGAAUUGCUGGGCGUAAAGCGCACGUAGGCGGAUUUGUUAGUCAGGGGUGAAAUCCCGGGGCUCAACCUCGGAACUGCCUUUGAUACUGCAAGUCUCGAGUCCGAUAGAGGUGGGUGGAAUUCCUAGUGUAGAGGUGAAAUUCGUAGAUAUUAGGAAGAACACCGGUGGCGAAGGCGGCUUCCUGGACCGACACUGACGCUGAGGCGCGAAAGCUAGGGGAGCAAACGGG